AUGACGGAGGUGCUUCUGCGGCUGCCGAUCAAGUCCCUGCUCCGCUUCCGCGCCGUGUGCCGCUCCUGGGCAGCGAACGUCUCCAGCGACGAGUUCUGCACGCUCCACGCGGCCAAGGCCGACGCCGACGCCGCGUCGGCUCCACCCAGGCUGCUCUUCGUCGCGCCCACCGCGGGAUACAAUUCCACGGCGGUCUAUUCCUGCUCGCCGUCGGGCCCCAGCGCGGACGUGCUCCUCACCCUCGACGAUGUGCGGGGCAACUUCGUCGGCCCGGUGGCCGCGCAGUGCCGGGGCCUCAGCCUCCUGUACGACGCCGUUCCGCCGGCCUACUACGUGCUCAACGCUGCCACCAGGGCGGUCACGCGGCUCCCUCCUUGCCCCGACGCGCCGAGAUCCAGCGCCGGACUGGGGUUUGAUCCGCGGACCGAGGAGUACAAGGUUGUCAGGCUGUUCACGCAGUCAUGCUACGACAAGCAGCUUAGGGACAGCAGGCUCCUUACCAAAUGCGAGACAUACACUCUUGGAGUUGGAGGCAGGUGUGGUGACCAGUGGACGCCUGCUGCCGGAGGAGUGCCGUCCUCCCGAGCUGCUCAAGCUGCCCUUGCAAAUGCUGAUCUCGACAAGCUGCCCCCGGUGUUCGUGGAUGGUUUUCUCCACUGGCUUAUGCUUCCGCUGGUUCAGAAAACCAUGUCCACCAUCAUGUCCUUCUCCAUCACAGAGGAGGCUUUCGGAUGGGUCCAGCCGCCGCCCUUCAUAACGUCUAGAAAUUCACACUUGGUGGAGCUUGACGGCCACCUAUGCAUGGCCCGCGACCUUCGUGCCGAUUCACCUAGCAUACUGGAGAUAUGGAAGCUGCUGCGGGGCUCUACCUCUGGCGACUGGUCCCUGGAUUAUCGCAUCGAUUUGUCGGCGCAGACAACAAGAGAGGUUCUUAUCGAGCUUGAAGCAAUUCGUAUUGAGCCUCAGGUUGUCAGAGUCCUUGGUGUUACGGGCAAUGAUAGAUCGGGGAAGAAGAUCAUCAUCGGCACGGCGCAACACGAGGUGCAUGCCUGGGAUGCCACGUCCGGAACCACCGAAACCAUUUUCUCGGUCGAGGAUACAAACCUAGGCUAUCAAGCCGAGUCUUCUUCCCUCCAUCUCUGCUUAUUCAAGGAAAGUCUUGCUCCGGUCCAUAGAACAAAUGAGGAGACGUCAUGGUCAUCUCCCGUGGGUAAGGCUGUCAAGGAGAUCUUGCUCCGGCUCCCUGCUAAAUCUGUCACACGGUUCAAAACUGUCUGCACCCAGUGGCGCAGACUGGUUGAGGGCAAGGUCUUUACGCGCUCAUACUUGGAAACGCAUAAGAAAAUGGACAAGCAGGGGGCAAAGAUCAUGCUCGUGGGCAAGGGCACCCAACAGGCACCCUUCCGGUUCACUCCGCUCAAGAAAUGGCUUUCCGAGGGAUCCAGCUCUAGUGAAGGUGCAAGACUGGAGACCAAGGUGGUUUGCUCCAAGCCUUGCCAUGGCUUGAACCUUGUAAGCACUGCAGAAGAAGACUAUCUUUACAACCCUUGCACAGGUUACUGCUACAAGAUCCCUUCCGACCCAGGGUCAUCUGUGCGUACACCAUGGGAAAGGCCCGAUGAUGGUUGUGCUGGUAUACAACAAAACUCCGCCUUCUCAAUAGGUAAUAAGAACAUUGGCUUGGGUUUCAGUCCGUUGAAUCAGGAGCAUAUAGCUAUAAUCAUUCGUUAUAAGCAUAAGGACUUAAGAUCUCGCAAUUAUCGCUUGACAUGCUCGGUAUGGCAGCGAUGUAGUUGGUACCAAUAUAGUAUCUCCAACCCGCCACUUCCAGUGAAUGACAUGCCACCGGCCUAUGUGGCUGGGGUAUUUUACUGGAUGGGCGAUCCUUUGCUGGGUCCGAUCAAUGAACAGGUCAUAGUGGCGUUUGACAUUGCCAGAAAUGAAUAUGACACCAUCCCCUGCCCCUCACACAUUGCAAGAUGGUGCAGCAAUGGCCGUCGGCAUGGCUUUGUGACAGAGCUUCAGGGAACGUUGUGUGUUGUUCUUGCAGAUUCGAUGGAGGAUGAGUUACAGAUAUGGAAGCAGGAGCAUGAUCGGUGGGACAGAGCAUACACCAUAUGUUUGAAAGCAUGGCCCGACUACUCUCUUGUGUCGAAUGUCGUGGUUCCGUUGUCCAUUGAUUCCAAGGAUGGCAGGAUAAUGUUGAGCACCGGAAGGAAGGUUGGUCUCUACGAUCCAAUUGGUAAAACACUUGAGAGGUUGUGCGCAGUAGACGGGAUGCCUCGUUGCACCGGUAAAAGGAGGGAACUUCCUAGAGCUUCGGAAGGAUUGCAACGACCAAGCAAAAGGCCACGCUCGGGCCACAACAUACAUGGAUGCAUGGAAUCGGUAACGGGACAAGACAUACUCCAGGCUUCCUCUUUGAAGAAAUGCAGCAACAAUAUGUCUAUGGAGAAGCUAAAUGCAGAAAUCCCUAGUGCAAUUAUGUCUGCAGUUCCGCUGUUAUACGAGGAGAGCCUAACGAGUUAUCCGCGUGUGCUCAAAAAGAGGUUGUUAGACUGA
RNAcentral lists this ribosomal RNA (2562 nucleotides) under Triticum aestivum (bread wheat). RNAcentral's name for it is "partial small subunit ribosomal RNA". Lineage: Eukaryota; Viridiplantae; Streptophyta; Magnoliopsida; Poales; Poaceae. The record is from RNAcentral.